Cotesia glomerata is the source of this 600-nucleotide long non-coding RNA. RefSeq lists it as uncharacterized. Lineage: Eukaryota; Metazoa; Arthropoda; Insecta; Hymenoptera; Braconidae. The record is from RefSeq and is a predicted model, not a curated record. The transcript is spliced from 2 exons.
UUGAACCAAGAAUACCAUUUUGAAGAAAAUAUCUGAUAUCGCGACAAAUCUUGCUAAAUAAGUCGAUACCGUGUAAGAGAAUUGGUAAAGAUGAUCGAUAAUUUUCGACGAUCAUCAAUUGCAUUCGUUAUAAUUCAUCUUGCCCUUCGAAAUAUGAUAGAAGCAUAGAAUUUAGGCGAUAAAUUCGAAGACGAGUGCACGCGUCUCCAUGUUCUCACUAAUUUGUUUUAAUAUUUUGUAUUGAAUGAUGCUUGUACUUUUGUUUUUCAACAAAUACUCUGCGAGCAACGCAUUUGUUAGCAAAUAAUUUACAUGACACAUUUACUAUCUAUUAACUCCACGUACAUAUACAUAAGUUAGAGUAUAGACUCAGAUAUUCAUUUUAUUAACAGAAAUUGGAAUGCCUCCAAUGAUGGGCCACCCAAGUAUCAAAUAACUCCAGGAGCCCCACCUUUACGACCGGAAUAUGAACGCCCACCUCCUUAUUAUUUUCCGGGAAAUGGAAGUCGAAAUUAAAAACGAACUUCUGCAUUUGUACGAAAACCAUGCUUAGCGAAUUGGGAUUACCAACAGAACAAAGUGAUCAAAAAACUAAAUUGA